Molecule: ribosomal RNA, 296 nt
Filed under: Schistocerca lineata (birdwing grasshopper)
Lineage: Eukaryota; Metazoa; Arthropoda; Insecta; Orthoptera; Acrididae
Description: partial 16S ribosomal RNA
Source: RNAcentral
UUAUUUAUUUUAUUAUAUUUAUUUUUUUGUUUAUUUAAUUAUUUAAUAGAAAUAAUUUUAUUGAAUUUUGUCUUARUAUAUUUUGUAGAAUUGAUUUUUUAAAUUAUAGUUUAUUGGUAAUGUAAUUGUUUUAUGAAAUAUUAUUUUAAAUUUUUAAAAGUAUAUUUUAUUUAUUGUACCUUUUGUAUCAGGGUUUAUCMAAAUUUUAGUAUUUAAUUUACUUGUCUCCAUUUGGGUUGAUUUAUAAAUAAUUUACAGUUAAUGKAUCAUAAUUAUUAUUAAAUUAUUUAUUGAAA